GACGAACGCUGGCGGCGUGCUUAACACAUGCAAGUCGAACGAAGUGGCGAACGGGUGAGUAACGCGUAAACAACCUGCCCUUCAGAGGGGGACAACAGAUGGAAACGACUGCUAAUACCGCAUACUGAAGGCGGGGAUUGCGUCUGAUUAGCUAGGUGGCGGGGUAACGGCCCACCAAGGCGAUGCUCAGUCUCCGGUUUGAGAGGAUGAACGGCCACAGUGGGACGGAGACACGGCCCAGACUCCUACGGGAGGCAGCAGUGGGGAAUCGUCCGAAAUGGACGAAAGUCUGACGGGGCAACGCCGCGUGAGUGAUGACGGCCUUCGGGUUGGAAAGCUCUGUUAAUCGGGACGCGGUACCGGAAUAGAAAGCCACGGCUAACUACGUGCCAGCAGCCGCGGUAAUAC
This 408-nucleotide ribosomal RNA is filed under the name uncultured bacterium. RNAcentral's name for it is "partial 16S ribosomal RNA". It matches the Rfam family "Bacterial small subunit ribosomal RNA", at positions 28 to 526 of the family's 1533-position model. The record is from RNAcentral.